UCUGGCCUAAAGAACUAGCUCCAGAGAGAAUGUAUGGUUAGUCAUACACAGAAAUACAAAUACACACACACAGACACACACAAGCACACACACACACAGUCUUUAAGAUAUAACUGUGACACAACUGGAGACCCUUACUCAAUCAAGACCAGAUAGAAAGAA
Long non-coding RNA from Sapajus apella (tufted capuchin), 162 nucleotides. RefSeq lists it as uncharacterized. The record is from RefSeq and is a predicted model, not a curated record. The transcript is spliced from 2 exons. NCBI's taxonomy places the organism in Eukaryota, Metazoa, Chordata, Mammalia, Primates, Cebidae.